GCAUUCUUAAGCAAUCUUUCACCACUCUCAAGCGUUCUUACACCGUUCUCUCACCAUUCUUAAGCGUUCUUACAGCGUUCUCAAGCGUUCUUACAGCGUUCUCACAGCAUUCUCAAGCGUUCUUACAGCGUUCUCAAGCGUUCUUACAGUGUUCUCAAGCGUUCUUACAGCGUUCUCACUGUUAAGAUAUAGGCGAGUGGAACUGUGUAGGUAAAGCCAACCUUAACCGUUACAGGUAUCACAGAACAAACUUUCAGUCAGAACAUCAUCUCCUUUAUACCAAACAUUCCAUCUUAUCUGUCGCACAGCCGUUAGUGUUCUGGCCGGAUGUCAACACUCCCCCUCGGACGGAACACUCGGGGGAAUCCAACUCAACGAACAAUGAGGUAUUAUAUAGGUCUUCAAGCGUAAGCGGGAUGAGCAUGGAAACAUCGAACGUUAUCGUGCGCGCUUGGUAGCGCAAGGUUUUCGCCAAGAGGAAGGGAUAGAUUUCGAUGAGGUAUUUGCGCCUGUCGGAAAGCGCACCACCCUUCGUGCUCUGCUUUCUGUUGUUGCUGCACGUGGUCUAGUUCUGGAACAGAUGGAUGUCAAGACCGCGUUUCUUAACGGAGAUCUAGAAGAGCCUGUGUUUUGCGGCAAGCCGCCAGGCUAUGACCUUGGUGGACCUGAUGAUGCUUGUUUGUUUCACAAAUCGCUUUACGGUCUGCGGCAGUCUCCGCGAGCGUGGUAUGUUAAGCUCAAGGAGGAGUUGAGGAAGAUGGGCUUCAAGCCUACUGCUGCCGAUCCUGCUAUGUUUGUCCGUGGCGAGGGGGAUGAUCGUGUUUAUUUCUUGAUCAACGUGGAUGACUCCCUCACGGCUGCUAAAUGCCAAGAAUUGGUUAACGAGGUUAAAAGACGGUUGAUGGAGGUUUUCGAGACGAGAGACCUAGGGCCUGUCGAUCGUUUCGUUGGUAUGGAGAUCAAAAGAAGCGUGAACGAAAAGUGGCUGAAGUUGUCACAGCGGAAGUACACUGAAGGCCUGUUGUCGAAGUUUGGUUUUGUUGAUGCCAACGGUCGCGCUACACCGCUUUCGCCUGGAGUUCAGCUUCGUGUUGCUGAAGAGGGGGAUGAGUCUGUGGGUAACGAGUAUCGCGAGCUAGUGGGCGGACUUAUGUAUCUUUCGUCCUGUACUAGGCCGGACAUUUCUCAGGCCGUGGGAGCGCUCGCACGUCAUAUGUCGAAACCUACCAAUGACCACCUUUUGACGGCUAAGGGUGUUUUGCGGUAUCUUGCUGGUACGCGCGAUUUUGGUUUAGUGUUCGAAGGGAACGGUGGCCUGCAGGGUUUUGCCGACGCUGAUUACGCUGGUUGCCCUGAUACCCGGAGGUCGACCACUGGCUUUGUGUUUUUGCAUUCGAACGCGGCUGUUAGUUGGUCCAGUCGUGUCCAGCCUACUGUGGCAGUUUCGACUGCGGAAGCUGAAUACAUGGCUGCUGCGGCUGCUACGCGAGAAGCUUUGUGGUUGAGGCAAUUGUUCCUGGAGUUGGGGGUUGACGCUAACUGCGUCAGCAUAGCGUGCGAUAAUAAGGCUGCUAUUUCUCUUAUCGAGAAUCCUGGUUCUUCGGUGCGAACUAAGCACAUAGAUGUCGCUCACCACUUCGUACGAGAGCGAGUUGAGCGAAGCGAGGUUUGUUUUCGUUAUUGUGGUACGGCUGAUAUGGUCGCCGAUUGCAUGACGAAAUCGUUGAGUCAUGCGAUGUUCAAGCGAUUCCGUUUGGCUAUGGGAGUGCGAUAGUCGAACAGGCUUGCAGACUGCCCGCGUGGGAGUGUUGAGGAAAAUGUUGUCCGGUCAGUCUGUCGCCUGAUGCUUGCGUGAUGCUUGGUUUCUGGAUAGAGUGGAGCCAUCUUCCGUACUUGCUGAUCGACUGUCGAACUCGUGAAUAAAUAGGAAUGAGCCAGCGAUUAUCUUUGGUCUGGUAUGCUUCUAGAGUAGUGAGUUGUGGCUGAGCUGAGCCGUUAGUCGCUUUGUAAACGCUCUGGCAAUCACUAUUGCGUCCAAAUCCAUUCAGCCUUCAAGACUACCAACCGGGCUUUGUACCGUUCUACUUGUCCGUCUACACCCCGCUUCACGUCAUGCACCCACUUCACCGGAAUCGGUUUCACCCCAGGUGACGGUACCUUCAGCUCCCACGUAUCUAAUGCGUGGAUAGAUCCGAUUUCUUGAACCAUCGCCUCCUGCCAUUUGUCCCGUUCCGGAGAGGCCAUCACUUCUUCGUAGGUGCUCGGGGUUUUGACGUCCGAUACGUUGACAGCAAGGUUGAGUCGUUGGGGUGGAUGACGGUCACGUUGGAGGUAACGAUGUUGUGUAGAGGCAGCUGCACCAGCCUUAUCCUCCCCCUCAGCUGCCUUACCGACAGCUUUAGGUUUCCCCUUAGUGGAAUCGGAUGCACCGCCGGUAGCCGUAGGUUCCUCCUCAGGUGCCUCAGGUGCUGCGCCAACUACCAUAGGCUCCCCCUCAUUCAGCUCAGCUGAAUCACCAUUCACCGCGCUCCCUUGACUAUCCUCUACGGCCUCGCUCGGACUAAGCUGCUCCCCUUGCCGGGCAGGGGCUGCAGUCUUGCAACUACUGCUAGCCACAUCGUCCUCAUCAUCACUAUCACUUCCGCUGCCGCUGCUUUCGCUAUCAUUCGUAGGCAGCGUGCAGGACGUUGGCGUCUCCUCAAAAAGCACGCUCCUGCUCACUACGAUACGCUUAGACCCGUCCAAUAAAAUCCGGUAUCCUUUGCAGUUGCGUUCGUAGCCCACCAACACACCCUUCUGGCUCGUGGCAUCGAGCUUGUUGCGGUGCCUCCUCUCGACAUGCACCCACACAGUACAUCCAAACACGCGCAAAUCAGAGACAUCUGGUUUCACACGGUGGAAAACUUCAAAGGGUGUUAUCUGCUUGCCCGACACAGGCGAACAAUUAUGCAGGGCACAUGCAGUGGUAAUAGCUUCGGCCCAUAAUUCAUGCGGCAAUCCUGAGUCUUGCAACAUCGCGCGGGUCUUCUCCAGGAGUGUGCGGUUCAGCCUCUCAGCGCGGCCAUUUUGCUCAGGAGUGUACGGCACGGAUGUGUCGUGCUGGACCCCCUUACCGUUAAGGUACUGUCCUAGAGCCUUAUUCAAAUACCCUCCAUGGCGAUCCGACUGAACUGCUAGCAGCUUCUUGCCCGAUUGGGUCUCUUAACAGCUGCAAUACUUCCUGGGCCGCUUCCGGAACUUCUCCCUUCGUCCCUACACAGCACACCACUGCAAAACUCGAAUGCUCAUCCAGAAACGUGGCGACAUACCUUGACCCGCCCAUAGACGGAACAGGCAUCUCACACACAUCCAUAUGCACUCGCUGCAAAAUACGGUUUGCUGCAUUCCCAGACGGAGGAAAAGACGCGCGGGUAUGCUUGGCCUUCACACACGGUUCACAGAUACUCUUCUCUUUCACCUUCUCCCGGACUUCAGCCGCGCUCAGGCCCAUACCAGUGACCAUUUCAUCAGACACGAGCUUCUCUAAAUUACCGUACCCUAUGUGUCCGAACCGACGAUGCCAAAGCCCCGCAGAUUCAGACAAGACCGCCAGGGUUUGGACGCACUCCCCCUGGCCCAACCGGGUCGCCUUUAGGUAGUAAUGGGUGCCCACCCGCACACACGGGAUUUGCUCCCCGUACUCCCACUCCAGGCUUGCGUAUUUCCUCAUUCGCGGAGAAAACAUUAGAGGGUUUCCUGGGCAUCGGCUGAAAAGACGUUUCGGCUGCCUAAUCACAGCAACCGGUCCACGAAAAUCCACAUGGUAACCCUUCAGACCUAGUUCGCCUACCGCAAUCAGUUUGUGACCUAAUCCCGGCGCAUAAUACACAUUCUUUAGGGUUAUCUUGACCUUGCCAUUCUCUUCCUCGGCUUCUAGCAGAACGGAACCCACUCCAACCGUCCUGCAAACCGCACCCGCCACACCUUCUAGGAUGAUGCCGUCCGUGAGCGGUCUGUAGUCGCUGAAGUCGGACCGGUCGUCCAUGACAUGGACGGCCACUGCCGAGUCCAUUUUCCACGCCAGCUUGGCGAGCGACUUCUCAACUGUUGCCUGGAUUUCCUCGGCUUCGGAGGUGGUGGAAGUGGUUAGGGCCAUUACAAGCUGCUUGCUGCGUCGGUUGUUGCCCUUGUUGUUGCCCUUUGUGACGAGCGGGCACUGUGACUUGAUGUGCCCAAGAACGCCACAUUUAUGGCACUUAUGGGUUGCGUAGGGGUUAAUGGAAACAUCAGGCCCGCCAGAGCUGGUACUCGCCCUGACGUUGACGUUUCCCUGACCCUUACCAGCUCCACUACGGUAGUCGCCACCGAAGCCACGGUGGCCUACCCCACUGCUCCGGUUGCUGAACGCCAGGGCCUCGACCUGGGCCCACUCUGCGUUGUUGUCACCUUGCAUCCGCUCCGCCAGGAGUAGAGCGGCCUUCAUUUCCGAAAGCUUCAGGUCGCUCGGCGGCUUGGCAGCAAAAAGCAUCUGCUGCAUUUGGAACUUCUUAUGCAAACCGCCCAAGAUGGCCAGGGCGAAUUGGCAGUCGUCGAUCUUCGAACCCACUGCAACCAUCUGCUCGCGUAGAUCUUCUGCUUCCUCGAAGUAAUCAACAACGGACUGGCCAGUCCGUUGCUUCAGGUUGCUGAAUUUUUGUUUUAUAAACAGAAUGUUUGCUCCGAUCUCGGAGACGCAUUCGGCGCGGAUCGCAUCCCACGCUGCGGCAGAAUCGGCUGCUUGAUCGAUCAGCCGAUGAAAACGGGGCACCGUGUAUUUAACCAGUUGAGAUUUCGCCUUCAUAGACUUCUCGGCGACGGCGCUCGGCAGGUCUGCUGCUUCGUCCCACAAGUCCUUGCCGGCCAGGCAGUAUUUCAUGGCCGUUCGCCAGCGAAAAUAAUUGGCGUAGCUGUCUAAGCGCUCUACAUCGUUAUCCUUCCCCAUACUUGUCCUAUCUCUAAGCCAGAGAAUUGCUAAGCCAGCAAGUUCGGACACAGUACUUAAGCAAAACGCUCGCUCGCUUGCCGCGGCGGCGCGGGGCUCAUAACCUGUUAAGAUAUAGGCGAGUGGAACUGUGUAGGUAAAGCCAGCCUUAACCGUUACAGGUAUCACAGAACAAUCUUUCAGUCAGAACAUCAUCUCCUUUAUACCAAACAUUCCAUCUUAUCUGUCGUACAGCCGUCAGUGUUCUGGCCGAAUGUCAACAUUUGUGUCCGUGGAUUUCCGAUUGAACUUAUCAGCUUCUUCCCAUUUAGGAAUUAUGAAUAUUCUGCUGACUGUCGUGCACGUUUACUGUGGCUGAACGCUUCCUAAGGCCAGCGAAUGAACGCUUCCGAACGAAUGAACGCUUCCUAAGGCCAGCGGUGCAUCCAUUCCUACAUAAUCUCUUACGUGACCUAAAUAUUAUUAAA
RNAcentral lists this long non-coding RNA (5427 nucleotides) under Volvox carteri. Its description in RNAcentral is "long non-coding RNA (VCAR_LNC000744)". Lineage: Eukaryota; Viridiplantae; Chlorophyta; Chlorophyceae; Chlamydomonadales; Volvocaceae. The record is from RNAcentral.